This 440-nucleotide ribosomal RNA is filed under the name uncultured bacterium. RNAcentral describes it as "partial 16S ribosomal RNA". It matches the Rfam family "Bacterial small subunit ribosomal RNA", at positions 338 to 795 of the family's 1533-position model. The record is from RNAcentral.
CCUACGGGCGGCAGCAGUAGGGAAUUUUGCGCAAUGGGCGAAAGCCUGACGCAGCAACGCCGCGUGAUCGAGACGCCCUUCGGGGUGUAAAGAUCUGUCAGUGGGGACGAAACUUGACGGUACCCACAGAGGAAGCACCGGCUAACUCCGUGCCAGCAGCCGCGGUAAUACGGGGGGUGCAAGCGUUGUCCGGAAUCAUCGGGCGUAAAGGGUUCGUAGGCGGCACGUAAAGUCUGGUGUUAAAGGCAGAGGCUCAACUUCUGUACGGGACUGGAUCCUGGCGAGCGAGAGUGCGGUAGAGGUAAAGGGAAUUCCUGGUGUAGCGGUGAAAUGCUUAGAUAGCAGGAGGAACAUCGGUGGCGUAAGCGCUUUACUGGGCCGUAAUUGACGCUGAGGAACGAAAGCCAGGGUAGCAAAUGGGAUUAGAUACCCGUGUAGUC